CAAAUGAAUUGACGGGGCCGCGACAAGCGGUGGAGCAUGUGGUUAAUUCGAAGCAACGCGAAGAACCUUACCAGGUCUUGACAUCCCCUGACAACCCGAGAGAUCGGGCGUUCCCCCUUCGGGGGACAGGGUGACAGGUGGUGCAUGGUUGUCGUCAGCUCGUGUCGUGAGAUGUUGGGUUAAGUCCCGCAACGAGCGCAACCCUCGACCUUAGUUGCCAGCAUUCAGUUGGGCACUCUAAGGUGACUGCCGGCUAAAAGUCGGAGGAAGGUGGGGAUGACGUCAAAUCAUCAUGCCCCUUAUGACCUGGGCUACACACGUGCUACAAUGGGCGGUACAAAGGGUCGCGAACCCGCGAGGGGGAGCCAAUCCCAAAAAGCCGCUCUCAGUUCGGAUUGCAGGCUGCAACUCGCCUGCAUGAAGCCGGAAUCGCUAGUAGUCGCGGAUCAGCAUGCCGCGGUGAAUACGUUCCCGGGCCUU
Molecule: ribosomal RNA, 480 nt
Filed under: uncultured Anoxybacillus sp.
Lineage: Bacteria; Bacillati; Bacillota; Bacilli; Caryophanales; Anoxybacillaceae
Description: bacterial SSU rRNA
Rfam family: Bacterial small subunit ribosomal RNA
Source: RNAcentral